AAGAAGGCCUUCGGGUUGUAAAGCACUUUCAGUCGUGAGGAAGGUGGUAGUGUUAAUAGCACUAUCAUUUGACGUUAGCGACAGAAGAAGCACCGGCUAACUCCGUGCCAGCAGCCGCGGUAAUACGGAGGGUGCGAGCGUUAAUCGGAAUUACUGGGCGUAAAGCGCAUGCAGGUGGUUUGUUAAGUCAGAUGUGAAAGCCCGGGGCUCAACCUCGGAAUUGCAUUUGAAACUGGCAGACUAGAGUACUGUAGAGGGGGGUAGAAUUUCAGGUGUAGCGGUGAAAUGCGUAGAGAUCUGAAGGAAUACCGGUGGCGAAGGCGGCCCCCUGGACAGAUACUGACACUCAGAUGCGAAAGCGUGGGGAGCAAACAGGAUUAGAUACCCUGGUAGUCCACGCCGUAAACGAUGUCUACUUGGAGGUUGUGGCCUUGAGCCGUGGCUUUCGGAGCUAACGCGUUAAGUAGACCGCCUGGGGAGUA
RNAcentral lists this ribosomal RNA (482 nucleotides) under Vibrio parahaemolyticus. RNAcentral describes it as "bacterial SSU rRNA". It matches the Rfam family "Bacterial small subunit ribosomal RNA", at positions 408 to 882 of the family's 1533-position model. Lineage: Bacteria; Pseudomonadati; Pseudomonadota; Gammaproteobacteria; Vibrionales; Vibrionaceae. The record is from RNAcentral.